UGAGGAAUAUUGGUCAAUGGGCGCAGGCCUGAACCAGCCAAGUCGCGUGAGGGAAGACGGUCCUACGGAUUGUAAACCUCUUUUGUCGGGGAGUAACGUGCGGGACGCGUCCCGUAUUGAGAGUACCCGAAGAAAAAGCAUCGGCUAACUCCGUGCCAGCAGCCGCGGUAAUACGGAGGAUGCGAGCGUUAUCCGGAUUUAUUGGGUUUAAAGGGUGCGCAGGCGGCGCGCCAAGUCAGCGGUCAAAGUUCCGGGCUCAACCCGGUGUCGCCGUUGAAACUGGCGUGCUCGAGUGCGUGCGAGGAAGGCGGAAUGCGUUGUGUAGCGGUGAAAUGCAUAGAUAUGACGCAGAACUCCGAUUGCGAAGGCAGCUUUCCAGCGCGCUACUGACGCUGAGGCACGAAAGCGUGGGGAUCGAACAGG
Molecule: ribosomal RNA, 423 nt
Filed under: uncultured bacterium
Lineage: Bacteria
Also listed under: 1 other name
Description: bacterial SSU rRNA
Rfam family: Bacterial small subunit ribosomal RNA
Source: RNAcentral